Molecule: long non-coding RNA, 1004 nt
Organism: Capsicum annuum
Lineage: Eukaryota; Viridiplantae; Streptophyta; Magnoliopsida; Solanales; Solanaceae
Exons: 2
Source: RefSeq, a predicted model, not a curated record
UUUCAGUUAUUUCCAUGCUUCAGAACAGAGAUAUUAUUGUUGGGUAAAAGAUAGCAGUUUGGUUCGGCUUAGUAUACGUCUAUGGUCAUAUGUAAGAGAAGCAGCAUCCUGUGGAAGGGUAACUUCUCAAAUUCAUCAUACCAGCUUACGUAAUUUGUAAAUACAUGUAUAAACGGUGCAACCAUGAUCAUAAUGUAUAAACAAAGAGAGUAUAUAUUAGCAGUCGUGAAUUGUGUUGUGGUUUUAUUCCUAUUAGAAGGUUUUAUGAGUUUUUCUUUCAUUGUUGCAGUGAAGAAUGCAACAAAGAUGUACCCAUUGCAUUGAUUAGCACUUUGCCUAUGUUAUCUCUUUUCACUUGCAAUUAAUCCUAUGGGCCAAAUUUCAUAUUCUUGGAAUCUUGGUGGAUUUGGGGCUGUGAGAACUGGGUUAAUGGUGGUUUGUGUUUGUUUGUGAAGUGAAACAAAGAAACCAGCAGCAAAGUAAUUUUCUACUACUUUUAGUGUUACUGUUAUUUUAUGAUUGUCCUUGUCGUUACCUCUUUAACAGUUGACUGCAUUCUUGAUAUUGUAUGUAAACAAGGAGAAAUCAACAGAGCCAAAGGCUAAAAGGGAAAAGAAACCCAAGAACCCAAAUGCUCCAAAGCGCCCUCCUACUGCUUUUUUUGUAUUCAUGUAGUCCCUCAUUUUGUGUUCAAGAAAUUGUCAGUAGUUUGACAUGACAAAAAACAGUAUUCAUGUAGUCCCUCAUUUUGUGUUUAAGAAAUUGCCAGUAGUUUGACAUGACAAAAAAUAUGCAGAGAUGAGUUUAGGCAGACAUUCAAGGCUGCUAAUCCUGACUGCAAGAGUGUCUCCACGGUAGUGCUGAAUUCAGUUGUUCCUGAUAACAAUCUCCUCUUGCCCCUUUAUCCCUUUAGUUUUAUCUAAUAGCCACAAAGUUGCUACUUCUCCAUCCUUGUUCUGUAGCCUUAUAAUAGUGUUCACUUCUAGGAUGACUCAUAAUGUUAA